Molecule: long non-coding RNA, 213 nt
Filed under: Elaeis guineensis (African oil palm)
Lineage: Eukaryota; Viridiplantae; Streptophyta; Magnoliopsida; Arecales; Arecaceae
Description: long non-coding RNA (EGUI_LNC061250)
Source: RNAcentral
AUGGGAUCUAUCGACCUUGAUAGAGAGGAGUAGUCCUAUGAGAUUUGAGAAACUGAGUCCACAAGUCAUGGCCAUAGCAGAGUGAUUAAUGAAAAAAAAAUUAUUUAAAAUUAUUAUUAAACUUGAGCUGAUCGGAUCUAUCAUAUGACUGAUGAUGAGGUUUGAUGAUUUAUCCAUGAUCUGCCAUCUAGUCAGGACUCAUGAUAGAGGGAC